GGAGAGAUGGCUGAGUGGCUGAAAGCAGCGGUUUACUAAACCGCCAGGGUCUCACGACCCUCGUGAGUUCGAAUCUCACUCUCUCCG
Molecule: transfer RNA, 87 nt
Filed under: bacterium
Lineage: Bacteria
Description: tRNA-Ser
Rfam family: tRNA
About the family: Transfer RNA (tRNA) molecules are approximately 80 nucleotides in length. Their secondary structure includes four short double-helical elements and three loops (D, anti-codon, and T loops).
Source: RNAcentral